This 433-nucleotide ribosomal RNA is filed under the name uncultured bacterium. RNAcentral's name for it is "partial 16S ribosomal RNA". It matches the Rfam family "Bacterial small subunit ribosomal RNA", at positions 29 to 507 of the family's 1533-position model. The record is from RNAcentral.
AACGAACGCUGGCGGCAUGCCUAACACAUGCAAGUCGAACGAGACCUUCGGGUCUAGUGGCGCACGGGUGCGUAACGCGUGGGAAGCUGCCCUUAGGUUCGGAAUAACUCCCCGUAAGGGGUGCUAAUACCGGAUAAUGUCCUCGGAUCACAGAUUUAUCGUCUUUGGAUGGGCCCGCGUUGGAUUAGCUAGUUGGUAGGGUAAAAGCCUACCAAGGCGACGAUCCAUAGCUGGUCUGAGAGGAUGAGCAGCCACACUGGGACGGAGACACGGCCCAGACUCCUACGGGAGGCAGCAGUGGGGAAUAUUGGACAAUGGGCGAGAGCCUGAUCCAGCAAUGCCGCGUGAGUGAUGAAGGCCUGAGGGUUGUAAAGCUCUUUUACCCGGGAUUAUAAUGACAGUACCGGGAGAAUAAGCUCCGGCUAACUCCGUG